ACAAAUAUCCACAUUUGCCUUUCUUCUUUUUCUUUCUACUCUUUCAUUAAGAGGCUUUGUCAUUUCAGAAAGAAAAGUAAGAACGACAAUAGCCUCCAAGUUGGAGGCUUUUUUAUU
RNAcentral lists this non-coding RNA (117 nucleotides) under Proteus penneri. Its description in RNAcentral is "Phe_leader". It matches the Rfam family "Phenylalanine leader peptide". The record is from RNAcentral. Lineage: Bacteria; Pseudomonadati; Pseudomonadota; Gammaproteobacteria; Enterobacterales; Morganellaceae.